This 673-nucleotide long non-coding RNA is filed under the name Homo sapiens (human). Its description in RNAcentral is "non-protein coding lnc-MB21D2-2:1". The record is from RNAcentral. Lineage: Eukaryota; Metazoa; Chordata; Mammalia; Primates; Hominidae.
GCUGUUACCAGAGUCUGUGCUUGUGGACAGCACCCAAGACUGCCUCCCUGAUUACCUUCCUGUCACUGUCUCCCUGUUGUGUGGAAAUCCUGUCAUGGCAGGUUUUCUUAUCUUCCUCUCCAACCAAACUGUGGGACUCUUGAUGGUAUGGCCCAUAACCCCCCUGAUUCCCCAGCUCCUGUCUUGGUGCCUCGCACACAGUUAAUAUACAUUGAGGAAAUGGAUGAAUAAUUGCACACAUUGAAAGCAGAGCUCUAGGCAGAAGAUAUUUUGUUGGAUUUAUGUGAAGAGAUGGAAAGCAGAGAAAUCACGUCUGCAUCGGUUUCCUCUAACUGGUUGAGCUCCCAGUAGAAGAUGCCUCACCUCUUUUAGAUCCAAUGGCUCUCAGAUGAUGAAACUGGAGUCUUCCUCUCCAUAACCUUCAUCAAAACAUUUCAAACAAAUCACCAAAUAGGAAUCAUUUAGCUUGCCUUUUCCCACAUUAGUUUCAGACUUCCAUAAGGGCGUUCACUUCAGGCUCUAAACAGCCCCUUCGCCCAUUUAUUCCCUCCUGGCAUGGUUUAAUUUCCCCAAACUUUACCUGCCGUGCUAACUGAGGCUGCAUACAUCUGCAGAACUCUCCCCAAAGAAACAGUCCUCCACGGAUGGAGAUAUAUCACAUCUAAGUAUUGAG